RNAcentral lists this long non-coding RNA (263 nucleotides) under Mustela putorius furo (domestic ferret). RNAcentral describes it as "lncRNA (ENSMPUG00000026275.1)". The record is from RNAcentral. Lineage: Eukaryota; Metazoa; Chordata; Mammalia; Carnivora; Mustelidae.
CUCUGAAGGGUGAGCUGAGUCAAGAAUCAGCUUUCUAGACCAAAGGGAUAUAAUGACAAAAGAAGAAGGACAAAGGAGGUAGAUCACAGGUGGCCGGAAGGGAGGCCCGGAGAGCAGUUCCUGGGCUACCAUUGUGUUUUAGGUGAGAGAUGGUGGUGGAGCAGCACAGAUCCAGAGAGGUUAAUGUUGCCAAGUGGUUUUUGGAAGUACAGUCAAAAGGAUCUGGUGAGGAGCAUUAAACCUGAGGAGUGCAGGAAAGAGAG